CCUACGGGGGACAGCAGUGGGGAAUAUUGCACAAUGGGGGAAACCCUGAUGCAGCGACGCCGCGUGAGUGAAGACGUAAUUCGUUAUGUAAAGCUCUAUCAGCAGGGAAGAAAAUGACGGUACCUGAGUGAGAAGCCCCGGCUAACUACGUGCCAGCAGCCGCGGUAAUAUGUAGGGGGCAGGCGUUAUCCGGAUUUACUGGGUGUAAAGGGAGCGUAGACGGCAGUGUAAGUCUGGAGUGAAAGGCGGGGGCUCAACCCCCGGACUGCUCUGGAAACUGUACGGCUGGAGUGCAGGAGAGGUAAGUGGAAUUCCUAGUGUAGCGGUGAAAUGCGUAGAUAUUAGGAGGAACACCAGUGGCGAAGGCGGCUUACUGGACUGUAACUGACGUUGAGGCUCGAAAGCGUGGGGAGCAAACAGGAUUAGAUACCCGGGUAGUC
Molecule: ribosomal RNA, 440 nt
Filed under: uncultured bacterium
Lineage: Bacteria
Description: partial 16S ribosomal RNA
Rfam family: Bacterial small subunit ribosomal RNA
Source: RNAcentral